RNAcentral lists this ribosomal RNA (253 nucleotides) under uncultured bacterium. RNAcentral's name for it is "partial 16S ribosomal RNA". It matches the Rfam family "Bacterial small subunit ribosomal RNA", at positions 524 to 776 of the family's 1533-position model. The record is from RNAcentral.
UACGUAGGGGGCUAGCGUUGUCCGGAUUUAUUGGGCGUAAAGCGCGUGUAGGCGGCCAGGUAGGUCCGCUGUGAAAACUCGAGGCUCAACCUCGAGCUGUCGGCGGAAACCAUCUGGCUAGAGUCCGGAAGAGGAGAGUGGAAUUCCCGGUGUAGCGGUGAAAUGCGCAGAUAUCGGGAAGAACACCCGUGGCGAAAGCGGCGCACUGGACCACAACUGACGCUGAGGCGCGAAAGCUAGGGGAGCAAACAGG